RNAcentral lists this long non-coding RNA (1262 nucleotides) under Salmo salar (Atlantic salmon). RNAcentral describes it as "lncRNA (ENSSSAG00000085858.1)". Lineage: Eukaryota; Metazoa; Chordata; Actinopteri; Salmoniformes; Salmonidae. The record is from RNAcentral.
AGAAAAUAGAUGCAAUCUGUAUGCAUAAUUAUCAAUAUACACUGAGUGUACAAAACACUGCUCUUUCCAUGACAGACUGACCAGCUAUGAUCCCUUAAUUGAUGUCAACUUCAAUCGGUGUAGAUGAAGGAGGGGAGACAGGUUAAAGAACGAUUUUUAAGCCUUGAGGCAAUUGAGACAUGUAUUUUGUAUGUGGGUCAUUCAGAGGGUGAAUCGGCAUGACAAAAUAUUUAAGUGCCUUUUAAACUGGGUAUGGUAGUAGGUGCCAGGCGCACCGGUUUGAGUAUGUCAGGAACUGCAAUCGGUUGGGAUUUUCACACUCAACAAUUUCCCGUGUGUAUCAAGAAUGGUCCACCACCCUAAGGACAUCCAGGCCAACAUGACACAACUGUGGGAAGCAAGUCAACAUGGGCCAGCAUCCCUGUGGAACGCUUUUGACACCUUGUAGAGUCCAUAAUUUAAGGCUGUUCUGAGGGCAAAAUGAGGUGCAACUCAAUAUUAGGAAGGUGUUCCUAACUAAUUUAAAUGUUUUAUUUAACCUUUGUUUAACUAGACAAGUCAGUUAAGAACAAAUUAUUAUUUACAAUGAUGGCCUACCCUGGCCAAACCCUAACACGGAUGACACUGGGCCAAUUGUGUGCCGCCCUAUGGGACUCCCAAUCACGUCCGGUUGUGAUACAGCCUGGAAACUAACCAGGGUCUGUAAUGACACCUCUAGCACUGAGAUGCAGUGCCUUAGACCGCUGCGCCACUCAGGAGCCCAAAAUGUUUUGUACACUCAGUGUAUAUUGUAGCGAUCCUCACAGCAUUCUCACAUAGGUGUUCCUUUUGUCCAGGUGAGAAAGGUUAGUGUGGGGUGCAAUAGAGAUUGCGUAAUCUGCAGAUCUGUUGGGGGGGUAUGUGAAUUGGAGUGUCUGGCUCCAGAUUAAAUCAAAUCAAACUUUAUUUGUCACAUGCGCUGAAUACAACAAGUGUAGACUUUAACCUCUAUGGGCUAGGCGGGACGAAUUCGUCCCACCUACGUAACAGCCACUUGAAGCCUGUGGCGCGAUUUUCAAAACCUUAAAAAUCCUAUUACUUCAAUUUCUCAAACAUAUGACUAUUUUACAGCUAUUUAAAGACAAGACUCUCGUUAAUCUAACCACACUGUCCGAUUUCAAAAAGGCUUUACAACGAAAGCAAAACAUUAGAUUAUGUCAGCAGAGUACCAAGCCAGAAAUAAUCAGACACCCAUUUUUCAAGCUAGCAUAUAAUGUCACAAA